Onychostoma macrolepis is the source of this 402-nucleotide long non-coding RNA. RefSeq lists it as uncharacterized. Lineage: Eukaryota; Metazoa; Chordata; Actinopteri; Cypriniformes; Cyprinidae. The transcript has 4 exons. The record is from RefSeq and is a predicted model, not a curated record.
GAACGCUUCACCCCAACUUCUUCCUCGAUGGCUUUUCCCACGUUUUCACAGCAGCUUUAUCAAGAACAGGCUUGCUCUGCAGUGAGUGAUGCAGCGUAAAGAGCCAGGAGAAGGAGGAGAGGAGAGCAGUUGAAUCGAAAUGUACAGCUGUCUUCAGUGCAUCAGCGAUCAGUGCAGUUCUCACUCAGAAUACAGCGCUGGAUAUGUUAAACUGAGUUGUUAAUGAAGAGGGUUAGAUCAGCUAUGGAGACCUACAGAAAGAUAGUUUUCCAACCCUGUGAAUGAAGAGAAGAGGCUGCACAAAACCAGGCAGAAGGAAACAUGUCCAGGCUUCUUCAGAGCUCUGAGGACAGCUAGACAGCAGAACAGGUUUAUGACGAGGAAGACUAUGAAGUGUACCAG